AUCCAACUGACAAGUCCCAAAUAGGACGAAACGCACGUCCUACAA
This is a non-coding RNA of Schistosoma mansoni, 45 nucleotides long. The record is from Rfam. NCBI's taxonomy places the organism in Eukaryota, Metazoa, Platyhelminthes, Trematoda, Strigeidida, Schistosomatidae.